This 279-nucleotide unclassified non-coding RNA is filed under the name plant metagenome. RNAcentral describes it as "partial contains small subunit ribosomal RNA, internal transcribed spacer 1, and 5.8S ribosomal RNA". The record is from RNAcentral.
UUUCCGUAGGUGAACCUGCGGAAGGAUCAUUAUUGUAUAACCGAGGCGCGAUGGCUGUCGCUGACCCGAACGGUCGUGCACGCCCGAGUGCCCUCCCUCACAUCCAUCUCACCCCUAUGUGCACCACCGCGCGGGUCCCCCUCUGCCUUGUUCGGACAAACGCUUACUUUUUCACACAUACUCUGAUUGCAGCGUAAAAUGUCUUUUUUCUAUUUGCGUUCUCGCUCUCAAUACAACUUUCAACAACGGAUCUCUUGGCUCUCCCAUCCUGAAAUAAAG